Long non-coding RNA from Lytechinus pictus (painted urchin), 1770 nucleotides. RefSeq lists it as uncharacterized. The record is from RefSeq and is a predicted model, not a curated record. Lineage: Eukaryota; Metazoa; Echinodermata; Echinoidea; Temnopleuroida; Toxopneustidae. The transcript is spliced from 4 exons.
AUAUCUUGGGAUUUAUUGAAUCUAGUUCACAGUAAGCCCGCGAGGUGGUCACUGUAAACGGUCAAAAUUGUUUCCAAAAUGAUGAAAUUACAUAUUUUCACAUUUUCCGUGCUAUUGAUAUAUUGCUGCUUUCUUGAGACCAGUCUUGGACAAGAGGCAGAAACUGAGACGAAAUAUGCUGCCAGAAUAGAGAGUUGCCGUGGAUGACAACUGAACUCCCUCCCUUCAGUGAAGCAGUUCAUCUUUCAAGACCUUCCAUAUUAUCAUGACGUAGAUUUAAGGUUCGUGGGGGGCGCCAAUCCAGACCUUCUCAUCCUUGAUUCUGAGGGCAAAAUCGACCAGAGAAUCGACUUGUCGGAAAUGCACAGGAGUCAGCUAAAUGAUUUGAUGUUUGAGCAUGGUUUUCAGCGAUCAGAGACGAAGAAGGAUGAAGACAAGGAGGAGUUAUAAAACUUUCAUUAAUUAAUGCUGUCAUGUAGUUAAAAGUGCAAUUCCCCCAUUUACGUCCAACCAGCAAAGCUGCUUUUUUUUUGGGGGGGGGGGGGGGUGUCAUGAUGUCAUUUUCUUUCCUUUCCCUUUUUUUAUUUUCUUUACCCUUCCUGUACGAUUGAUUCCGUUUAAUCACUUUAAAAUGAAAUAUAAUAGAUGAAAAGAUCAACUGUAUGCUCUUGACUAUUUUAAAAGUCAGAUCUGAUCAGUGACUAGUAUAGACUAGACAUAUUACUUGCACACAGCUGACUAGCUUUUUGCCGAGUGUGUAACCUACCAAGUUUAUUCUAAUGAGAUCAUCUAACAUAAAUAGCCAGAAUUAAAAUCAUCAUUUUACUUCUGUUUAGUUCUCUUAAAUUCGAAAGAGUAUAUUAAAAAAGUAUAAUUUACUAUAUCAAUUCAGAAAAUUUCAAAUUUUGGAGAUGCACAAUAUUGUCUUACCUUCGGAAUAAAAGUCAAAUUACACUCAUAUAAAAUCGAAACAGAACAUUUGCCGAUUAAUUUUUAACUUGUAUUGAUAAAAUUUAAUGUAUUGAUGGAAUAUAUAGAAUGAUUUAGAAUUAGAUAGAGUUGUGAAGUAGAAUCUGGGGGUGCAAAUAACAGGAACUAGCUUUGAAUUUGUAUUUAUUUAUUUAUACAUGUUAUUUAUUUAUUUAUUAUUUUUUACAGAAGUAGUUUAUGAAAUUAGAGUAUGAUACCAUGUUAUCGAAAUUUGAUCCAGGUUGUUGUUUACAUUUAUGGAUUUCAUUUCUAGCAAUUUUUCUCGAUGGUAAUUAAUAUUUGAUAACAUGUUGUUUAUUAUGAAUUAGAAACAAUAACUGGAAAUCAUUAUCGUUACAACUCGUAAAACUCUUGUAACUCGAGUAAUGGGGUAUAUACUUUAUUAUGUUAAUUGCAGGAUUGUAUUUAAUCGAACAUUUUAUUCCAAAAUAUCAAAAACAUUUGGUUUCCUUAAAAAAUGACAAAAAUAUUUAGUUUAAGGGAUGCACACUCGGAAAGAAAAUGGGAAAACCUUUAGAAAUUUAAGAAUUGUACUCUUUUUAUGAUUAUGUUGCUUUUGUGCACAUAUUGUUUUUUUUUCAAAUGAAUGAAUAAGUCAAGAUUUUGAAACAUGUGCAUUACUUUGUAUUUAUGAUGCCUACUACUUCAGCUUAUAAUCAAGUUGUAGCAGGUUGAUAUGCCAGGCAAGACGUGAAUAUGUUUCAAUAUCGAAAGGGACUUUUUCAUGGAACUGUAGAAGAUAUUUAAUAACUAAAUUAAUUAAAAACAUAUUGGAAUUCA